This 86-nucleotide transfer RNA is filed under the name Desulfomicrobium sp. RNAcentral describes it as "tRNA-Leu". It matches the Rfam family "tRNA". Rfam says of the family: Transfer RNA (tRNA) molecules are approximately 80 nucleotides in length. Their secondary structure includes four short double-helical elements and three loops (D, anti-codon, and T loops). Lineage: Bacteria; Pseudomonadati; Thermodesulfobacteriota; Desulfovibrionia; Desulfovibrionales; Desulfomicrobiaceae. The record is from RNAcentral. RNAcentral also lists the same sequence under 3 other names.
GCCGGAGUGGUGGAAUGGUAGACGCAGUGGACUCAAAAUCCACCGGGGGCAACCCCUUGCGAGUUCGAGUCUCGCCUCCGGUACCA